CCUACGGGUGGCAGCAGUGGGGAAUAUUGCACAAUGGAGGGAACUCUGAUGCAGCGACGCCGCGUGAGUGAAGAAGUACUUCGUUUUGUAAAGCUUUAUCAGCAGGGAAGAAAGUGACGGUACCUGAAAAAGAAGCUCCGGCUAAAUACGUGCCAGCAGCCGCCGUAAUACGUAGGGAGCAAGCGUUAUCCGGAUUUACUGGGUGUAAAGGGAGAGUAGGUGGGAAAGGAAGUCCGAAGGGAAAACCCCAGGCGAAACUAAGGGAAUGCAUGCGAAACUGCACUGCUAGAGUGCAGGAGAGGCAAGUGGAAUGCUUAGUGUAGCGGUGAAAUGCGUAGAUAUUAGGAGGAACACCAGUGGCGAAGGCGGCUUACUGGACUGUAACUGACGUUGAGGCACGAAAGCGUGGGGAGCAAACAGGAUUAGAUACCCUUGUAGUC
RNAcentral lists this ribosomal RNA (440 nucleotides) under uncultured bacterium. Its description in RNAcentral is "partial 16S ribosomal RNA". It matches the Rfam family "Bacterial small subunit ribosomal RNA", at positions 338 to 795 of the family's 1533-position model. The record is from RNAcentral.